This 406-nucleotide ribosomal RNA is filed under the name uncultured bacterium. RNAcentral describes it as "partial 16S ribosomal RNA". It matches the Rfam family "Bacterial small subunit ribosomal RNA", at positions 30 to 526 of the family's 1533-position model. The record is from RNAcentral.
AUUGAACGCUGGCGGCAGGCCUAACACAUGCAAGUCGAACGAGUGGCGGACGGGUGAGUAAUGUCUGGUAAACUGCCUGAUGGAGGGGGAUAACUACUGGAAACGGUAGCUAAUACCGCAUACCAUCGGAUGUGCCCAGAUGGGAUGAGCUAGUAGGUGGGGUAACGGCUCACCCAGGCGACGAUCCCUGGCUGGUCUGACAGGAUGACCAGUCAAAGUGAAACUGCGACACGGUCCAGACUCCUAGGGGAGGCAGCAGUGGGGAAUAUUGCACAAUGGUCGCACGCCUGAGACAGCCAUGCCGCGUGUAUGAAGAAGGCCUUCGGGUUGUAAAGUACUUUCAGCGGGGAGGCGUUACCCGCAGAAGAAGCACCGGAUAACUCCGUGCCAGCCGCCGCGGUAAUAC